This 179-nucleotide non-coding RNA is filed under the name Alkaliphilus oremlandii OhILAs. The record is from RNAcentral. RNAcentral also lists the same sequence under 1 other name. Lineage: Bacteria; Bacillati; Bacillota; Clostridia; Peptostreptococcales; Natronincolaceae.
CAAAUUAAAUAGUUUUAAGGUCUUUAGAAUAUAAAGUUAAAAGAGAAAGAGGUUCAAUUCCUCUACAGCCCCCGCUACUGUAAUCAGGUAUGAAAUCUUCAAAUCCACUGGGAAACCGGGAAGGGAAGAUAGUAAGUCGAUCUGUAAGUCAGGAGAACUGCCUUAAAAAUAAGAAUCAC